Molecule: ribosomal RNA, 305 nt
Filed under: uncultured bacterium
Lineage: Bacteria
Description: bacterial SSU rRNA
Rfam family: Bacterial small subunit ribosomal RNA
Source: RNAcentral
AGCAUCCUACGGGGGGCAGCAGUGGGGAAUAUUGCACAAUGGGGGAAACCCUGAUGCAGCGACGCCGCGUGAGUGAGGAAGUAUUUCGGUAUGUAAAGCUCUAUCAGCAGGGAAGAAAAUGACGGUACCUGACUAAGAAGCCCCGGCUAACUACGUGCCAGCAGCCGCGGUAAUACGUAGGGGGCAAGCGUUAUCCGGAUUUACUGGGUGUAAAGGGAGCGUAGGUGGCAGGGCAAGUCAGAUGUGAAAACCCGGGGCUCAACCCCGGGCGGGCAUUUGAAACUGUCCAGCUAGAGUGCAGGAGA